RNAcentral lists this long non-coding RNA (14929 nucleotides) under Gallus gallus (chicken). RNAcentral's name for it is "lncRNA (ENSGALG00010015539.1)". Lineage: Eukaryota; Metazoa; Chordata; Aves; Galliformes; Phasianidae. The record is from RNAcentral.
GGUCAGAAGCUGGCAUUUCAGAGAAGUGAAUUUUAGUUCUUCGCUGGAAUUCAGCAUCUUCCCUCCUCCAAAAAAUAGAAGUUGCUUAAUGCUGUGUUGGUAGGAGAGUCGGUCAGUACCUGAUACAGUAUGUUUGUAGUUUAAAUUCACUACUUGUUAUAUCCAAACAAAAAUUUCCUCAUGUUAAUAAUGGGUGUAAGACAGGACAUUGCUAGUUUUCCAGGUGAUGAGGAUUAAUCAUUACCCAAUUGCAUUUUGCACACAAAUGGUUUGUUUUCUUGUCCAUGCUGCCCUUCUCGUACAAAAUCAAAGGGUUAAUUUGCUACUGGGAACUGCAGGCCUGAAUGCUGUUGAGCAGCAGAAUAGCCUAAGAUGUCAUCUCUGACUGUGAGCAAGGUUGACUCAGAGGCCCUUUUAGAAGUCUAACUCAGAUUAGAAUGAAAUAGAACAGCAGCAACAACACUGUUCCCCUCAAAACCAAACAAAAACCAAAUCAACCUACUCCCACCUCUAGAAACAUGCAUGUGUUGUGGUCAUCAUUAGCAGAAACCACAUGAGCAAGAAAUAUUUGUAACAACAGUGCAAAGAUAGUAUGAAUUAGUUUUCCUUCUCUGAUUGUCUUAAAGAUUUCCUCCAACUUUUCAAAACUUCAGAGGGGCCACAGUGUUGAAAAAUGCACGCUGAAGAUUCAGGGGAAGCUGUAAAGCUCGAAAGUCUUGAAUUCCUUGCAGCAGAUGCUUUUUCUGUGUUCUGCUCCCUUUUACUCCAAUUCCCCUACACAAAUUGAGCUUUGAAGCUAGAAGUGAUGCGUAAGGAGACGGUUAUGUCUUUUUUGGAGAAAAAAGUCCAAGUGUAGCAUGCAUGAAUUCCUUCCAGAGUUGGACAGGCUUGCUUCAACAAUUUGUGAUGUUUAAAAGCCAUUAAAUUACUUAGCCAUCUGCUGUUAAUAAUGGGAAACUUCUGAUAGAGCUGAAGGUCUGAACAAUGGGAAUGAAUUGUUGAUUGUCCUUAAAGUGCAGUAGGCUUUGUUGUAAUCAUGAAACUGCAGUCUAUAAAUAUUUUAAGUAUCUUAAAAGUGUAUUUCUAACUCUCCCUUCUGUGGGCUUCUGAAUGCAGCACUCGUGUAAAUGAAAUGCAAUGUGAGAGGAUCUGAUUUAAUCCCUACUGGCUUCAAUGUGCCUACUGAGUUUGGAGGUAAAUCAGCCAUAGGCCACCUAGGGUUUAUUGUAACAAAUGUGAGCACAGGGAGUUCAGAUGAGAACAUUUUAGGCUUGCCUGGAGUGGGAAUGUGGAAGAAGCAGGGAGAAACUAUAGCUGCUCUUGUCAUUUUAUGGAAGUCUUUUUAGUUUACUAGGCACAGUAAGUUUUGCUGACUGAUGUGGUUUCCAAAAGUGUUUCCCUGCUAGACUGCUUCUGAUUAAUAAAAUAUAUGAAAGCAAAGGAAAAAUUCUUUCCUAGCCUUUUUUUCCUGGUACUUAUGACUAAUUUACAUUUUUAGCAUCCUUGAAUGCUACAGACCUUAGAUGCUUAGAUCCUUAAGAUGUUUACCAUCCUUAGAUGCUUAGAUCUGCAUGGUCUUUCUCUCAGCCAUGCUGGAAUUGUUCUGCUUGCAUUUUAAGUUGUUCAGAUGCUGACAUGCCCUGUACUGAUAACUCUGUAAUUGCAUUAGCACAAGGCUUUGUCCAACCUAGUAAUCCUUGGUGAGCAGCAGCGGAGUGCUACAGUAAUACAGUGCAAUCACUUCUUGAUUGGAGAUGGUGAGGAUCUGAGUGAUUCGAAGGACUAGCUGUUGCCAAGAGGCAGUAGAUGACAAUAUUGGGAUUCUAAUGUGACAUAUAGAAAUAUUUCAAAAACAAAAGAAUGCCUUUUUAAUAUGUAGUUGGUACCAUGUCAAAUCCGGAAGACCUUUGACUGUUUUGUUUGCAAAAAGACAGAACAAAUACCCAGUGCCACUAAUAAACUAAACCCGAGAAGUCUCCCAUGUCAGUGGUUCUUUAAUAGAAGACUUCACCAUUUACUUCCCUUCUGUUUUCCAGGCUAGAAGCAACGCUAGAAAUUAUGUUAACAGGAGUGGCACGUAGCUGACCUGCAUGGUAUUCACCAAUAGGCAGGAGCACAUUCUCCCCCAAGUUAAUAAUUUCUUAUCCCUUGGAUGACUCUGUAAAUACAUGUGCAGUACAGCUGGAGCUACAGAAGUACUAAAACAGUUUACAGUGAUGUUGGACAGUUAAUACACGGAAAAAUGCAGUGGAUAUCAGACACAAGAUCAUUCCCACGUCCAGCUGACAGCUUAGUGCCAGAAAUGCAGUGCUACUCAAUAGACUUUGGUGGACUUCUGCAGGCGCUGCUAAACCUGAUGGAGAUGGAGUGCACAGCAGACCGGUGUUGGCAUAGCUAAGUUCUAAGCAAGGAAAUGGACUUCUUGGAAACAGUGCUGAGGUAGUGAUGUCCGGUUUUCCCAGUUCUAACAGCUCCCAAGGUUUGCAGCUACUAGGUUUUCUGUAACGGCUUGUACUUGGAGAAUCUCUUUCAAAAUCGGUGAGCAGGGUGCUCUUGUGCUGGACUAUGAGGAGUAACUUUCUACGAGUUUUGGAACUGUGCUGAUAUGGCACUUGGCAAGCUUUACCUGGGAGCAUCUCGUGCAGAGAACAUGAAGAGCAUAUCAGAGGUUAGAGGAUAAAGAAAAGCAGAAAUAUUUGCUCUUCUCCAGAUGCCUGUGACUCACAUGCUGAUGAGUGCCUGUUCUGCUUUAGCCUCCAAUGCAUCUUUUGAGGCCUGAUGUUCCAGGGAAGUCCUUGUGCUGCAUAUAUUUGAGAUCAAAGCCAGGACCUAUCAAAUGUGAACAGGUUUGAUGACUAGAAAGACAAGAAAGCUGCUCCCGCACUUUGCUGUUCUGGUUCUGUACUUGCAGGAGGGGAAAAAAAGGAAAAGGAUGAGAAAGCAAGACUUGACUACAUGCAAUAGCAGAUAUGGCUGGAUGUAGAAGCAGAUCUGCAGAAAGCACUACACUUCAUGGAGGAUGGGACAGGAGAAUAGCCAAAGGAAGUCGAUGAGGAUGGCUGUACUGGUGAGGAACUAAGGAGCUGACAUUACUUCAUCUGAAGAGAAAAGAAGACAAAGCACUCCUUGUAUGGUUAAAAAAAAAAAGAGGCAGAAGCAUCAAAUGAAGGACUGUUUGAAUUGGAAAACUAAUGAGUAUUUCAGGUUAUUCAAAUCCACACUUACUCUAACACUGGAAGCCGUUCCAGCAGCAGCAGCACCUUGAGGAGGACAUCAGGAGGAGGUCAGAGAGUGCUCAAACAUAAGAUUGAAGUCUGCCAAACAUGAUGUCCACCAAAUUUUUACUGCUAAAAAGUUGAGGUCACCCAAUGAGAAAUACAGAGACAGUAAGAUGAUCAAAAUACCUCAGGAGAAGAAUGAAUGAACAAUUUGAAAAAAAGAGAGAAAAGCACUGUGCACUCCAACAACAGCAUCUUAAGUGCAAAACAUCAUUGUACAGAACUUUAUUACGAAGUGAUAAAUCAGCACGCUGAGGCUUCAUUAACUUCAGUGGAACCAGACUGAUUUAUGCCAGCUGAGUCAAUGGCUGCGUUUAUAUGUCUGCAUACGUCAAAAUUAAUCAUGUUUGGAAAAAUAGAAGAUUCUAGGAAUAUAUCCCAGAGGAGAAGAUAUAUAUACUUAUUUAUAAAUUCUACUAAUAAGGUGAUACUUAGCAGGCCUUUCUACAGGACUCUGAAUGACACAGCUGUCCUCCUCCAGAGUUGAACUUCUGCCCUCCUGCAUGGCAAGAAACAGAUAUGCACGUCCUCUGUCAGCACUCUCCAUCUCCAGCAUUCAGACUCCUGCAACCUUCCCACUGGUCCACAUCCUCACGCAGUCUUCCCAGUAAGGGGAAGAGAGCUGUAGAGAAUAGAAUAACCAUGGUUACUCCUACAUCGUCAGAAUUGGAAAGUAAUGUUAUCCAUGGGCUGAAGGAAGCUCAACCCUGCAGUCCAUUCUUCAAGCUCCUUCCCUACAAAUGCAGUGGGAGAGAUGUCAUUUGGGUGCCAAUGAGUUGUGUGCAUCAUAAAGGUGAUCACAUACCAAUUUCUUUUGGGAUCCACUCUAAAGAAAUGAAAGCUCAUUUUUUUCAGUUCAGAGCAUUUGCCAGUAGAUGGUGUGAGGAAUUUCUCCAAUCGCAGUGACACCAAAUGGUGCUGACAUCUGAAAAAAAAGCAGUGUUUUAUGACAGUAGCAAGAAUUACUUCUCCUUGUGAAUCUAUAUUCUGUCAUAGAGUUUACAAUUGCGCUUGCUGAAAUGCUGUCAUUUUCAUUUAAACUAAAGGUCCUCUGCAGCAGGCAGCUCCACAAAGGGUCUCACCUCGUCAACAGCCAUUUCUUAGGAGUGUGAGAUUAGCAGAGCGGCAGCUGAAACAAAAGCUACCUGUUAAACACACUGAGGGUCAGCUACAGGAGGAUGAUGCUAGAUGCUUCAAAAACAAGGCCUCAAGGUACACAGAAUAGAUGCAGAUUAUUAUUAAGAGUGACUGCAGCCCCGGUUUUCCUAAACCUCAGCUCUAGUGUCUAAAUCUGUCUUCCCAUUCCCCUUGUAAGAUAGCCAGAGCUGCUGGACUCUCCAACUAUUCAGAAGACUUUCAAACAUUACCUCUUCAUGAACACCUGAAAAUGCAAUACCUACAGGUAGCAGGCUUGGUUUUUCAGGUUGUGCAGCAUUUGGGAACUCUCUCUUGUUUCUGGGAUUACUAGUAGUUCAGAACUAAAUCAAGCUUCUGAUUUAAGUUUCUGAUGGUUAGGGUGAACGUGAAUGACUUCACACAACUUUAAUGGAAGAUAAACAGCAAAAUGACCCAGUUUGACACAAGAAAUGAAUUGAAGUUUAAAAUGACUCAGUUUCCAAAAGUUUUAUCGUGGAAUUUCUCUUUGUUACUGUUCCUGUAUUUGAGAGAAAUGUGGCACACAUAGAAGACUAGCAGCUAUUUUGGUCAGCAGUGAUUGAAAAAAAACCCAUCUACUUUCACAGUUUUAUUAGAAAUGGUAUCCUGAGAGACUGGAUUUGUAUUCUAUGUUUUUUUUUAGGCAAGGCUGCACUAUAUCUGCAGUUUUGCUGGCAGAAUUUGCAUCAUUAAUUUAUGCAAACCAAAGGCAGUGAGGAAUCCAGAAACCAUUUUAAAAUGUGUGUAAGUCAGACAUUUAGAACUGAAACAUCCACACUCUUCCUAUAGCCUAUUGCUGCGUGACUUCUUUUCAGUUCCUUCUGGAGUGUGCCAGUAAUCUUUUCUUCUCUUUGGUAAGCCAGAGUAACCCAGUAUAUGAAAAAGUGCUUUGAAACAUCUGCUCUGAAUUUGUUUUUUAAUUAAUUAACAAGUAAAUGCUUUUCUGGUUGUGGUGAAUUAUGGCAACUUGUGUUAAAAUCAUUUACCGUGUUAAAAAAUGUAAAGACUUCGAUUAUAGCAUGAUCUUUCUCCUCAGAUAAUUUUAAGAUGAUGUAGUUUCAACCUCUGUAGUUUCUCCUCAUUUUUAUAUGUUUUUAAUAUGAGAUUCCAGUUUAUUAACAGCUGCAUCACUUUACAGUGCUAACAGAUGCUAUUAUACAACCAGGCUAUGAGAACAGACUUCAGCACGCAGGUUUCAAUUUCCUUACCCUUAGUAACAGGGCUGCAGAAACCAAGAUGUACUCCCCUCCUUCUUUCAGUAUCUAAUACUUUAAUACUUGGCACUUAAUCUUUAUUACAGACACCAGUAAAGCAGAUGAGCAAAGUUAUUGUAAAGUCUUUUCAUACAGGAUUUAUCUUCUCUCCUUCACGUCUGCAGUCUGUCAUACAUCAAUUUGUGGUCAUAAGGUACAAAAUAACAGUUUUUUACUGAAAGAAAAUAAAAUUCUUGGCUUGGUUCAGAGCAGGGUUCCAGGAUAGCUCGUUGGGUAGUAGGCUACAGGCAUUCUGCCUCUGACAGGGCUUUGCUUUGCCUUCUCGGCAUAUUCAGAGAGGUGCUAUGUGGCAGGGAAGUGUUCAGAAUGAGGGACUGGGCCUCUACCACCUGCGGUGACGUUGGGCCACUUGGGACAAAGGACUGAUCAGCAAGCACAGCAUCCAGUUCUCUUACCUGGCAGCCAAGCCCAGGGAGCACCAGCUCCAUUUGUGCUGCUGAAUGCAUUUAGCUAUUCAUUAAUUUUUCGAUUACUACAGAUGAGCACACGAGCUCUUCUUCCUCCUCAUUCCUUCACCCUCCUUGUCCCAGAAUGGCUUUUAGCUGCAAUGCCUGGAACUCAGACAAGCAGUGUCGCAUCUUUUCUUGCAGGAGAAGAGAACAAAGAUUUAUAGUGUGAGCUAUGAAAUGAUGAACGAGGGGGAAGUGAUUCCUCCUCCUGCUAUCUGGGGAAAUCUAAUCUUGCAUUUUAGACUUGGAGAGCAGUCAGUUUUUUCCAGAUCAAAUAAAAUAUUUUGUGUAGGAAUGACCUUUUUGUUUAAGCAAGGAAAAUGGAAGAAAUAUAUUUGUUUCAGACUGAACUGAUUUAGAUUUUGGUUCAUUUUUUGAUAUAACAUCGUGGUAUUGAGGAUAAAAUAUUGAGCAGUGCCGUGAAGAAGGUUAUGCUGUAGUUACCAUUCAUGGCCAAUAUACUUAAGCUGGUAACAAAUGCUAUGCAAAAUGAUAUAGUAGGAACUCAUUACUAUGCUUGUAAAAUAAUUUAUGUUUCUCCUUUUUUGCUGACUACUGCCUUCUCUCACACAAAAUCACAGAAUCACAAAAUAUCCCAAGCUGGAAGGGACCCAGAAGAAUCACUGAGUCCAACUCUGGCUCCACACAGGACCACCCAAACCCUAUGUCUCAGAGCAGUGCCCAAACGCGCCCUGAGCUCCAGGAGCCUGUUCCAUGCCCACUGCCCUCUGGUGCAGAGCCGUUACCCCAAACCAACCUGACCCUCCGCUGAGGCGGCUCCAUGCCAUUCCCUCAGGUCCUGUCACCAUUACCGGAGAGCAGAGCUCCGUGCUGCCCCUCUGCUCGCAGUGAGGAGCUGUGGGAUGCCAUGAGAGAGCUUUUCUCUGGGCUGAACAAACCAAGGGACCUCAGCUGCUCCCCUCCACCCCUUGCCCUCCUCAGCAGCACGAGUUAUGAAAAGGAGGCAUGGAUUACAUCUUACAGGUAAGAUGAAAAGAAAAGUAUGUAUGAGUACAAUUCCAGAGUCUGUGACUAUUAGGAUAAGAAACCAAAUAAAAAAGAAUCUACAUCUCCAGACUCUAUUCCUGGAUUAACUGUAGAUGCAAUUUACAGGAGUUCUUCCAAUCAUCCCUCACUUUGUCUUGCUUCCACUCAAGUUCAUUGUCCUAAAAGAUCUGGCUUGUUAGGAAACAAAAACUAUGUUGUUUCAACUGCUAUGUGAUGAGUCACAAUGAGUGGUAGAGAUCUUUAGAAAUGAUAGGAAUCCUUAAUUCCAACUGAGCUCAUGGCUGCUAUGGAAAAGCAGACCCUGUAUGCGCUUAGAAGAGAAAGUAAAAUACAGUCUUUUCCUACAUUGAGGAACUUGCUUUUUCUCAAGCGUUGGCAUACAUUUGAUGAUUCAGGUCAAUGCAACCUUUCCUACAUCUUUCCUACUUAAAAGAAACCCUUUAGAACAGCAGGCUUUUUUUUUUUCUUCCUGAAAAAGUAACUAUCUUUGUUCCGCACAUGUUUCCACAGCCAACACUGCUGCACCAGACCUGAUAGAAAAUUGUUCAUAGUUCAGCGAGAAGCCGUUUAAAAGUCAGUCCUGGCUCCCCAGAUGCUAUAAACAUCCAUUUUGAUCAGUUAGAAAACCUGGUUGCUUUUAGUAAAAGCACAAGCAGGGAUGAUUUUGUUUUGAUUGUUUAACGCUGUUGAUGUUGCAAAUAGGUAUGUCAGCAUUUGAAAGAUGGUCCUAAGGCACUCGAUUUUUUAAUAGCAAGCAGAAUUCUCAUUAACAGGCAAUUUUAAAAAGCAAUAACAUUCAUUUUUUGGACUAUUAAGCAUAUAGAGUGUUUAUAUUUCCAGCAAAGAAUGAACUAAUGGAAAAUAAAAUUCUGUCAUGCACUAGUGCCACAACAUUGCAACAUAAUGUAUGUGAGGCUGAUUACAUUUCAGCCUUUCAGCGGGAUUAUACAUGAUCAAAGCUUCUGGAGUGAGAACUAUGUAACUUAAAUGAUUGAAAACAAUUUUAAUGUUUAAGUUAGUCUUCUCUCUUCUUUGAAAUAAAAGCUCGCCUCUUGUUAAUGAUGUGUUAAACUAAGAAACAACUGUCAGUGUAUGUACUUUCCUAAUGACGGGCAGAUACGUACAGUGUCAUAUCCGUUUGAUGUACAGUCUGUGCAGGUGCAUGGUACUGCUAGAGUUUACCCUAUCUGCCUAAAAAUACCUGCCCUUUCUGCUGCUUAAGUAGCAGAACAGUGCCAGUUCAAAGAAUGGCAAAAUGAGAUUCUUCCAUGUGUAUUGCCAUGCAGGCGUGACAAAACUACCCAAGCCCCUUUUGAAGGCUGCACUACCAGCAAAAGUGGGGAUCCACUCUUCUGCAGGGACUUGACCUUCCAUCCUCACCUUCCACUAACCUGUAAGCUCUCUGGAAGUGUGAUGAUUCGCUUCGGAAGGCCGAGGCUGUGACAUGGCUGCCCAUCAUGGCCAGCAUGUCUUGGACCGUCAGGCAUGCUUCCCAUGGGACUCCGUCAGUUGUUAGCAUAAUGAUUUUAUGGAACUGAAGUUUCUUCUGAAUUUUUAUGUCCAUUGGCACUAUGCCAACGUUAAGCAAAAUUCUGGACUUUCAGAUAAAGUAGCAAUGAGAGCUAAUGCUGAACCUUCUGUUUGUUAAUCUGCACCUAAAAAAAAAAGAUCCAGGAAAUCAAGAUAUGGAACGUGUGAAAAUAAAAUCUCAUUCUCUUGCUUUUCUUGGAAGUUGGAAUCAAAAUCUAGUAAAUUUCUGGUGCCUAACGCUGGUUAAUGCUCUGAACAAAACCAGGGCUGCUUCAUAAGGGUCAGAAAUGUUCUUUUCCCUACAAAGACCAUCAGUAUGACAGUGCUCAGAUAGUCUCUGUUCCACCACGCUGCAGCGCAACCAGCUGAUGUGGCCUAAGGCAGACAUAGCAUCAAACUGCAGAAUAAAUCUGUUUGCAGCGUAAUUAACAGCCUGAUCGCAUACAGGAAGAAUGUAAGUACCUUUCUUGAAGAGACAAUACUGUUGUCAGGAAAAUUUGAAAAACAAAAUCAAUGGAGGCGAUAGACAUGAAAAAAUAGCGUCCCUUCUCUCCUCUUUUCCCUUCUGUGUUUUCCCCUCCAAUUCCAUCCACCAUUUUGAUGGAAAAAAAAAUUCCAAAGCAUUACGGUCAUAAUAUCAAUUAAUCUGGUUGUCAGAUCCUUUUCUUUUUUGAGAAAGUUAAUGGUACCUCCCAAAUUUAAAAAAAAACAAAACAAUUUCAUGGUAUGCGUUGUUACCCAAAAAAGAUAUGAUUUGCACAACACUUUCCCCAUGUAUUUUCCUGGCUUCCAGAUCUUUUUCUUUGAAAAUCAUUAUGGAAAGUGUCGAACUGGCAACUUCUGACAUUGAUAUGUUGCAAAACGCCUCCACAGCAUAUUCGAGCUCUGCGUAACCUUCCAACGUAUUGAUAUGCAUCAGCUAGAAACAGUAAACUUUGUCGUAUUCUUGUGUUUUCCUAGUGAGACUGCCUUGAGGCAACUUACAGCACUACUGUGAACAUAUGAAAUCCUUCUUCCACUGAAAAGUCAGCUUGCCACUGGAUUUAAUGGAGCCAAGACAUUAGAUUUAUUCAGUGGAGGUAGAUAUGGCUUAGAUAACCAAUGGUGUAAAAAUCAGUGAGUCAACAAAUGUUUGGUGUGUUUAUGAAAUUAGAUAGAGAAACGAAUGCCCCUAUUGAUAAAAUACAUAAGAAUUGUCCCUCGCUAUUGAACAGCAACAUAAAAUGUACGUAUGAGGAAGCUCCCAAAUCCAAAGUAACAUUAAUCACCUCUCCAGCCCUUGCAACAACAUACAUUUAUGGCUGCAUUUAAAAUUGUUCUCAUUUCUUUUUCUGAAGGCCUCCAAGAUCCUGAUUAUGCUGUUUGAUGAUUCUACAUAAAAUAAACAUUUCUAGCCCAAGACAGACAGCAGCAUUGAAAAGCCCUUAGUUUUUUUUUUUUUUCCAGGUAAUCUUCAGGUAAGCAUGUGGUUAAAACUUAUUUUGUGUCCCUUUAAAAAUUUCUUGUUAGUGAACUGAUGAAACUCUUGUUUGGUUCAUUCCUACUUAGAAGUAGUGCUAGUUUUAGGUCACUGAUUGUUUAGAAAUUGGUAAUGGGGAAGAAGAACGCAAUACUCUCUCCUUCCAUCUGCCAGUUGACCUAUUGGUGUUGUUUUUCUUGUUUUAAAUAUUCAGCUGGGUCCACAGAUCUGCCUGAAAACUACAGCAAGACCAGGGCUCUUAUUUGGGGGACUAACAUCAGGCAAAUACAUUUUAGGAAAGAUUUGUGAUUGAACUGCUACAGAAAUUUGUUCCUACUCCUUUUAAUACCAAAUCACACUCUAGAACUGUUCACUGACCUUAACUGCAUUAACAGUGACUUCUGUUUUUAUGCAAAUUUGAAAGAACAAAACCCUAACAACUGAGGAUGCAUAAAUCCACCUUCCCCACACUCUAGCUCUGCUUCUAAUCUUAUUAUUACCAUAUAUAUUAAUAAUAUUAUAUAUCUAUAAAUAUAUAUAUAUAUUAUAUUAAUAUUAUUAUUUACCAUAUGAAGAGGAUGGAAAGAAACCAGACUUAGGUUUCUUUUUAGGUUUAGAUUUUAUACAGGAACAUCAGCUCCUAGAAACCUUGUCAUAGAUGCCCACAAACUCAAGAACUCAAGAGACAUCUCUGUUUUAGUUGUGCUGAUUUUCUUGUCCAAACUGAAAUAAAACACUGCUCCCGACCAUGUAAUAGAAACUAGCUAAAGUCUGCCCUGUGUGUUCCAUUUUCUCAUUUUGAUGCCUUGUGUUUGAAUGCCUUUCUGCUAAAGCAUCUGUCACUUUCCACUGGUCAUCAGCAUUUUUAGCUGUAAAAAAAAAAAAAAAAAAAAAAAAAAAGGGAAAGAAACUUAUUAGAUGAUAGAUUCCAGACAUUCAUUGGGAAUGAUGUAUUCAGUGGUAGAACAUUUCCCUUCCAUAUUCUUGUCUCCCCGAGCUGCUCUUCAGCACACUGUGACCAUUACAUGACACUGUAUUUCCCAGAGUUUACCAGGAAUUUGACAGACUGAGUGGUUGUGUGUUUUUAUGGUAACAAAAGGUAUUAGAAAUAUCACUACUGAAAAAGCUGCACUGGAAACCUGUGGAUGUUCCUUAUGGACGUUCCAGUUGACCUGUUUUAAUUCCCAACAUGGUUACAAUUAUUUUAGGAGAGAAAACAUCACACACAUCUAAUUAUUUGGAUCAUUUUCUGCUUUGGACAGAUUGCAACAAUCUUACACAAGCACUGGCACAAAGCAUUAGGGCAGUCUGGUUUUUGACCCACAUCUGAUCAUUUUGCAGUACACGCAACUGUGCUUCCAGUGGUAGAUUCCCCCAUGCAAAGUUCCUAAAUGUGGUAAAUAAAGCCAUCUGUUGUGGAAGCUGGGUUUGAAAAUUACAUGCCCCGUUAACCACUGUUCUGCAUAUGGAGCUAUUCAUGUCUUAUACAUAAGAAUGCCUUUCUGAAAGCAGUUUCGUUCACCUCAUUUUGCAUAUUUCUGGGCCAUCUCCCAGAUAUCUUCCUUCUUACAUUAACUUGUGUCAGACUGACGUCAUUUUUCUCAUGGUCGAUAAUUUUUGGAGGAAUGGUGUAGUAUUUUCCAUCCCAGUGUCUCGCUCUGUUAGUCUAGGCAAAGUCUUCUUGGUUCUUGGUGACCUUGGGAUUAUGAAUUCCACCAGCCAUAUGAUUUGCAAUUUCACAAAGUGAAACCAGUGGAAUGGUAAUGUGGGUAAGACUUCACUGUAAACAUACGUGCAUUUCAAUGAUGUCUGUAUUUUGCCAAUUUAAAAGACAAUACCAGACCACCCGUUACAAACUAGUUUUCAGCAUCCCGUUAUGACUGCUCUCAUCAUCUGCUUUGAUGGCUUUAAAAUACCAGGAUCUGUAGAGGCAGAGGAGCCCUGCAGAUCAUCCGGGUAGUCUUUUAGUAAAGCAUCUGCUUCUGUGUUUACCCUUGGUUCCUGUGUUUGAAGAAUCCAACACCCUAAUUGAGGCUGGAAAGCCUGAUUGAUGAUUUUUUUAAUAGCUGUUAUUCUCAUAAGGCACAUCAUCCAGGAACAGCCGGAAGAUAAAGAGUUGAAUACUCCACAGUUUAUUGGAGCUUGUUUUGAUGGCCUUUUGUCCUUGUUAAAAAGUCUGUGCUUGCCAUCUAUGGUUACUUCAAACCUUCCUUUUCUGUCAUAUCUAUUAAUGAAUAUACAGUUUUAUGAAGAAAAUUAGAAAACUGGAAUACCUACAAGAAAUACUGAACAAAUGGACUGGAAGAAAUCUGAGGGAAGUCUUGGUUAUUUCUGAAUCUCAGAAGUGCCAGGAACUGAACAAGAACUUUUCAUUUGAGUCGUGAACCAAGUAAACAUUUCUAAAUUUUUUGGCCACUUGAAUUUUAAAGAUAUCAACUGGUAUCUUUAAUGUGGAAUAGUUUAAAGAGCAGCUGUGCUCACUGUCUCCUAACUAGAUGAUUAUUUGAGAAGGGAAAACAUAUUUUUUGUUAUGUUCUGAAAAAUAGUCCAAAGUAAUCAUUUCCGUGAGGGUAGAUGAAAAAAAAAAAUCAGUGCCUCUAUAGAAAAUGCAACCAAAUAUUCUGAUUACGUAGAUAUAAAAAAGCAGUUGAAAUGCUGACAUAGAAUAACGGCUAAAUCCUUUUCCAGAUCCAUUUUAAAAUUAUUUUUCUUAUUCUUUUUCUCUGUAAUGUUGCUUUUUUUUUCCUAAAGGCUUAAUCCUGCUACUUUUAAAAUGGUACAUUACCCACAAGAUCAAAUGAGAUCCUGAGGGAAGUAUUCAAAGAGAAGGAAAAUGGGCAUGUUUAUAAUUCUUCCCGUUUGGCAAUUAGCUCAAAUGCCUAAAUUAAAAGAAUAGCUUCCCUCGGUUUACCAGAUGAUUAAUAGAGAACAUUCCAGUAGGCAAUUUGAAAUGCUAACCUAAGUUCUUGCUAUUAGUCUUCUUUUGGAACUCCUGCAUAUUUUUCCCUUGGACUGAGAAACGAGCUUACUUAAAUUAUUUAAAUUUAAGUGAUGUUAACAGCCCUGAAAAGUGCUGGUGGUCUUCUGUACCAAUAAAUUCCAACUGAUAACAAACAAAAGACCAUGAUGCCAUAAGGACAGCCGAUCUCGAACUGCUCAGAAUUUCCUUUGCAGGGCCUUGGCAAAUAAACUAGUUCUAAGUGGGUAUAACCAAAUGCAAUCAUUUCUAGGAAUGUAGCAUGGUAAAAAAUAAACACUGAAAGUCUAUAUAAUGAAUAUUUGCUAAUUAAUUACCGCAGUCUUCAUUCUGUGUUGUUCUUGUUUGUUUUUAAUAUAAUUUUUGUACCAGCUUUUAUUAAUGAGUAAUCUACUCCGUGUACGAGAGACUGCAGGAGUCUCAUUUUCACAGAGCUGAGAUGGUCUACGUUUAGUUAGAUUGCCUGUACACUUGCAUCAGGAUACCACUUACUUAGGCUUUCAUCUCUGUACACAUUUAAAAUAUUUCUUUUCAUUUUUCCAGUGUUCUCCUUUUCCCCUGUAGCAGGCUGCAGCAUUCAUCUCAACUUCUGCUUCGUGGUAAACGUGCUGCAAAAACGGCACAGUGACACAGAAAACAAAAUGAAUAAAUCAUUUAUUAAGAUUUACAAGGAUGAGCUCAUAGAAAUCCAGCUUCAAUCCCUGUUAAACCAGUUUUCUAAAUGCCACGGACAGAGUCAUAAAGCAAAUUUUCUAGCAGCAAAUUACUAAAAUAACCAUUCAGUUUCCACUAUAGGACAGUAAUCAACAUUUUGUUGCUUCUUGAUAUAUUUUCUACCACACUGCAGCCACGAUCAAAGAUCUAAAACUCCUAGGUGAAACUGCAAGCAAACACUAAUUAGCUUCCAGGUGAGCGCUGAUCAGUUUGUAGGAUUGCUUGCAGCUGGGCACACUCUGGAUCUUGGAAACAGCGUAGAACAGCAAACAGGCUGAGAUGUUUGAGAGAAAGGUCAUCUGUCUGAGCUUUUUCACUUCUGCCUUAGUUUUCUGUUUUCUUGGCAAGGUGCUGAAAACUUCCAAAACGUUUUGAAAGUUCAUCAUUUCCCAUUUGCUGUUUCUGCUUUGGAUAGAUAUGUGAAAAUCCUGGAAAACUCAGCGAAAGUAUUAAAAAAAGAACAACCACGUGACAUGAAACAUUCAAGCAGACAGAGCCAACUCUUGUCUACAGAUCUGCUGGAUGUUCACAGAUGUUUAUUUCAGAUUAGUGGGACUCUGUUAUUUCCAGCAUAGCUGUGUUUUUGUCCUUGGAAUUUCCUAACAUCUUAAAAACUGCUCUGUUUCUCACUUCAGCCACCACUUUAAGGCUUCUUGUCUCUCACCCCUCAGGCAAGACCUAGUUUUGCAUAGUUUACACACUCUUACAAUUCAGAAGCUUUCUAGAUGAUAUCCCAUCAGGCUGUCUAGCUCUUUUAUUGUAAACAUAGCUUGUUACUAUUGAAUGCAAAGAUCAACAGAAGCUGAUAGCAAUGAAUGAUUAUCACUAAUUCACUUUGGAAAAUAUGUUCCACAAGAAGAGUUGUCAUGAUAAAAAAAAAACCCGAAACUGCUAUGGAUGUUAAGAGUAAGAAUACAGACAAACGAAGAAGAAUUAGAGAAAUAAAUAAAAAAAUGAUAAAAGGAGAAAGCAGAUUGUUUCUUUGUAUAAUCACGAUCCUUUUGAUUGAUUGACAUGAAGGCCAUGGCUCACUUGACCUGAUUUUAUGUGUAAAGCUUACUAAAAUGAAAAUAAAAUAAAAUAAA